Molecule: long non-coding RNA, 9161 nt
Organism: Cygnus olor (mute swan)
Lineage: Eukaryota; Metazoa; Chordata; Aves; Anseriformes; Anatidae
Exons: 10
Source: RefSeq, a predicted model, not a curated record
AUCUAAUGUUCAUCCUUUUAAAAUGCAUAACUUCCUGUCUACUUAUAGCUAGAAAUAUAUUUUGCUUCUUUCUUUAGAAGAUCUUGGAAAAGCAUGUUUAUCCUCAAAAUUAGCAUUGUUUCAAUUUUGGAGAAAGCACUGCGCAGAGAUCUGAAUUACUUGCCAACCCCCUGCAAAUGAGUGGCAAAGCUGGAAACAGAGCUCAGCUCUUUGGUGGAAGGAGACAGAUGAGGAACAACUUUCCACAUUGAGGUCAACAUGAAUGCAGAUCAAGUCCAGUUAUGUGAAGAAGGGGAAGAAACACAUGGAGUUAAUGUAGAAAGCUGAUCUCUACAUCUUUAACAGCCAAAGCGUGAAAUGUAGAUCCAAAUCAUGUGAUAUCUGAGCUGAAAUUUGACUCGAGUAUUCUGUCUUUUGCAUAAAGUACAAGGAUUGCUAAAGUCAGGAAGACUUGAGAUUCAUCUCCCAGGAAAGUGCCUGGAAUACAUUUAAGCCACAAAUUUUUAUACUUUUACAACAACUAUGCUAAUUGCAUGGAAAAAUAUGUAUAUAAAUUUGGUGACGUGUGUGAAACACGGAUGAAUGACUUAACUGCAUAAAUAAUUAAUAUAUAUUUUUUUUAAUGAGGUAAGGGCUUAUUGAACUGAAAAAUAACUUCAAAGUCAUUUCAGCUCCAUAAGACCUUUUGCCCUGAGAUCGUGGUAACUUUAAUUUAUACAGUUUUGGUGUGCAUCUCUUAGGUCACUGUUUCUGUAGAGUUUUAUGCUGCAGUCUUAGUCACUGUAAUCUUAAAUCUUAGGGUUAAAGCUUCUUGCUGAUUUGCAACUUUUAAAUUAUAUUAAUAAUUAAACACAUUUAAUAUGCCGUUAGCAUUUUGAGGCCUGCUCCAAAACCCUCUGAAGUCACUAGGAAGAUGAGCUCUUUCCAUAAGCAGACUUUGGAGUAGCCUACUACUUAAGUGUGUAGUGGCUACAGAAGCAUGUACACAGGUGUUUGUAACAAAUUCUAAAGAAAGUUUAGUUUGUCAAUCUUACACUUUAAAUACUCAGCUUGUCUUUUGGAUUUCUGUGGAGGCUGGUUAAUUUAAUUAGAUCUGUCUAAUGCAUCUAAACAUGCUCAGUGGGGAAUCUGCAGCCUGGAGGAGCUGGUCAUAGACUUUUACUUAUUGCCAGACUGAAACAGCUGCAGGGAGCCAACAGGAGAACUGGUUCUCUUGGUCUGUUCAGACUCUUUCAAAUAGCUUAUGAAAGAAGUGCUGCUGCUUUGGGAGCUUGCCAUAGAUAGAGAGUACCAUGUAUGGCAAAAGAAUUAUUUUUGCUUGAUAAAAGGAUGGAGAUUGUGUGAGGCUGAUUCAGUCCCAGUGGACAGAAGUACAAUGAUUUUUUUUAAUUAAAAAUGGAAUCUCAUAAAUGUUAUUAGUGGCUCAGUUUCUAUGUAUUUCUCUCUGUGCUUGGCUUCAAAGGCAGUCUUCUGAAAACAAAGGAGAUGAGGCAUAGAGUCAGUGUAAGGAAGGGAAACAAAACCGGCUGUCAGGGUUGGUAGGAUCCUGGUGAACUUGUGACUGCUUUGCCAAUGCAGAACUAGCAGACCUUUGGUCAAAUCCUUAAGGUACUAAAGACAGUGAGUCUAUAUGAUAAAAUCAAAUAACAUCAUUUGACAUGCUGGGGCAAUCUAGGUGUAAGCCAGUUCUUUUUGGUGACUUUUUAGCAUUUUAUUUGUGGUGUUUUUGUUGUUUAAGUAUGAGAUUCCAAAGCUUGAGUUAUAGAUACCCUGCUGCCUACCCUGUUGCAUUUUUGAUUUUCUUGUAAUGCUGCAAAGUAUUGCAUUGCUGUAUAUUUGCUAGAGAUGUUUUACAAAAUGCUUUGCUGAACUCUGAAUUAGUUAAUCUUUGUGUUUAGCUUUAAACACUCUUCGCAUUAAACACACUGUGAAGAGUUGUGAAAACUAGAGGGCACUCAAAACUAAAUUCUUGUCUCUAACUUACCAGUUAGAGUUUAGAUGCUGGAGAUAGCAUCAUGUGCAACUGCUGUACUGCAAAAGGAGUGAGGACUUCACAGAACAGCCCCAGCAAGAUAUUUAGGCACCCUUGGACCUCCUUUUCCUUUCUCCUCAGACACCUUUCUUUUUCCUCAGCUGCAAACCUGUAUCUUUUCAUUUGAGCAGCCAUAGUGACAAGGGAUUGGGACAUAUUUGCUUUCAUUAAAUGCUCUGUUUACUCUGCCCUUGCUAUGACCCCGAACAGAAACAGCUGGUCUCCACUGAUUCUUGUGAGUACAAACAUGAGCUUUACAGGUAUGUUUUUUGGGAUGAUGUUAUAGGAAAUUUUGCAAAAGAGCACCAGGAGAUACACACAUAGUUUCUCUAUGUAAUGUUCUGCAAAUAGGCCAUUAUGGCUACAUUACUGCGGGUUAUUGAAAUAUGCCUUUAAAUGAUAUAGCAACCCAAAUCUGAUUGCAGUAAUUUGUGUAAAUACCCAUAAUGUAUUAUGGUAGAAAAUGUGAAAUGGUAUUUUUAGAUAAUAAAGCAGGUACUUAAAAGUGAGAGUUUUGCUUCCUAAAAUCAGACAUGAUUUAAAACUGAAUACAGUGCUGAUUCAUAAUCAAUUUUCUUGUUCUUUUUUUCAGCCUACAGCUAGUAUUAUGAAGUUAAUGAAAUACGUACUUUCAAAUCUCCUGAGAUAUUGGCUCCUGCGAGAAUGCCAGUGGCAGCUGGGAAAAAAAUGGCAAACACCGAGAAAAAUCCUUCUCCACCUCUGAAAUCUGGUCCAAAGUUUUCUGCAAAUAUUGAUGCUGCAAAUAUAGGUGAAAAUGAAACAUGCUAACAGGAUUUGAUUCCAGAGUUACUUAAUGAAGAAGGUGAAUCAUCAAGUCUUUCACAUCUGGACGUCUGGGUUUGAAUCUGUCUCAUAUUACAAGCGAAGUGAAUUUGAUUUCCUCAGUCUGGUCCCCAGUAGGAUGUGCUUGUGUGCAUCUCAAAGCCACAGAGCCAUAUUGAAGUGACAGGAAUGUCACUACAGCACUUGCACUUAGCUCUGUUUAAAGGUUUGUCUGUGCUCUGCUGAUACACAAAUGACUCAAACUGUAGCUAACUAUGCUGUCAGAUUCAGCAGCAGAGAGACAUACUCAAAAUUAAAGAUGAAAGAAAAAGGCUUGGUUGCAAGCUUAUUUAAAUUUGAGCCAAAGAUCCUUAUCCUGUGACCUUUUUCAGUGGAAUCCUCAACUCAGUAAGAAGCCACAAAGAAUGCAAAGUUACUUUUCUGUGAUAGAUGAACAGUACUUGCCUUGGUAAUUAAAAAAGCCUCUUGCCUUCUUUUCGUUGUUUGUAGGAAUGACUGUUCCAAUAAAGAAGUUUGCAAUGGCAAUAAGGAGAACAACUAGAAGAAUAACUUGAGCCUGUUAAUAGAAAUAAAAAGAUCUGAACUUAGAACUUUACAAGUAGUUCUAAGUUUCCAUCACAGCAGAAUAUGAAAAUAAGGGUCCAAUUAUGGACCUGAUUUCUACACUCUGAAGUAUUUCCAAUUUUAACUUUUUUUUUUUUUAGGGUGAAGGAAUAACAGAUAUCAUCAGAGAUUAAGGAAUGGCUAGCAAAUAGAGCUCUCCUGCUGAUCAGAGCUUGAGAGAUUACAGUGAUAAAACCAUAUAUUGUUUUAACUACUGUUUAUUCUGUCAAACUGCAUCAAAAAUAAGGGCAAAAGGAGCACUUACCCAAGGCUCUAAAUGAUGCCAUGAAUUAUAAAAAUCAAUAUAAUCAAGCUGUCUGUGAAACAUGAACUUCCUUUUCCCUCUUAAAUGAAUGUUCAAGGAAGAGCACAGAGUAAUAGUGCUUUCAAUGAAUGUAAUGAUUAAACUGUUAUUGCUUUUAGAAAGGCUAAGCAUAAACUGAAGCUGAGUGCUUUUGAAAAUCCCACCUGUUGUAAAAAUCCCACCAUCCCUCAUGCACAAACCCUGUACAGUACGGUAAUAUACUGCUUGCUUGUAUGUUCUUUUAAAACUUUACCUUUGCUUCCCAUUCCAUGCCAGCAACAGAGAUGCCAAGAAGACAUACAACAGUUAUGGUACCUAUGAUUCUGAUGUCAUUGGACUCAUCUACCAUUAUUGUAUCACUCUCCUGGAAAGAGUAAAAAAUAUUGUUAUGACCAGUCUUUCUUGGCCCAGCUGGUGGGAUCAGGUAACAAGUGAAAAUAUUUGCUCAUCUUUGAAGAAGUAGCUGAAAUGUAAGGAGUAUUAUAAAGAAUUAUACGAGAAAGUAUUAAAUUGAAGAUACCACUGAUCUGCAUCAGUCUUCAAAAAGGAAGAGUGCUUCGUGCUCAGUUUGUCAAAGGAUGUCCAACCUGGAAGGCUCUGAAUAUUAAAGACCUGCUGAAAGCUGUUGUCUCAUCUCCAGCAGUGCUUUCUCCAUUAGCCACUCUUUCCACUGAGCCGGUGCUCACGGCUAUGUUCUGAAGGAUCACACAGAAAACAAGCACAUUUUUGUAUCAAGCAGAGGACACCUGGUUGUAUAAGAGGGACAUGGAAGAAGGAAUUCCAAAGAAGAUCAAGUUUUACUGUUUGUAGAGUAGAGUGCAAUACUCUUCUGACACCAAGCAUCAACAGAAGUUUAGCCUUCAUCUCUCCUGGGGAUAAAGAUGAUGAGCUCAUCAAGUCUUCAUAAAACAAAUGUGGUAAAUAGCCAAGAGGAAGAAAGGUUAGAUGAUUUCUUAUGUAAGGUAAAUAUUAAGCCCAAGUAAUUAUCACCAGCUAUCAGCUGUGAAAUAGCCCUUAGACUAUUUUUUAGGGAUUUAAUUGGUGUUUUGUGGCUUAAUGCGUGCAAAGCCUGACACAUCUUGCUAAAAGAUGACACAUAUUUGACUCCAGCAGCGUGGGAACUGGAUAUUUGAAGUUCCUUUCAGCCUGCCUUACAUUCUGACAUUUGAAAAAUUGCAUAUUAAAAAUGUAUUAAAUAUUAAUAUUUAUCUUCUGAUGCUAAGCCAGCAUCAAAGCACAGUGGGAACGCUUACGUGAUGUUUAGAAAUUUGAAGUCAAAUAUAUGUCAUUUCUUAUCAGAAUCUGGCAAUGGGCUUUGACAAGGCAGUUGUCUUCAACAAUAUGAGUUACAAAAAAGCUGUGGAGGGAGGGGAUUGCCUUGGGUUAUAGUGUGGUAAAUCCAGAUUUUAGUGUUAAAGAAAAAGGAAUAAAGCAUCUUCUCCAGAUUUGUAUCUUGGGAUAUUAGUCUAUCCCCCUCACACACACACUGGGGCAUUUCAUCCCCAACUUAAGGGUGGCUAGAGAGCCUGCUGCACAUGGGUUCAGCUGCACAUACUGCUUUCACCUGCAGAUAGGAGCUCAGCUUUUUCAUACUAUCUUAAUGCCUUCUCUACUAAUCUACUACUUGGUGUUCUCGCAUUUGUUUAUUCUUCAGAAUGCCUAAAUUGCAUUUGAUUGCAUCUUUCAGUGGUGCUUUUCAACUCUUAGCAAAUGUCAGAAAAACAGGUUUUAUGGAAUCUGUCUGGAAAUUUAAGGCAGGAUUGUAUAAAAGACCACAAAGCACUUGGAUACGCAAAAGCUAGGGUGGUACUUCUAGAUAGUACCUACUUGUUCUGGCACUGUUUUCAGAAGCUGAGACAGUAUGUUAAUAUCCCUGUACUUUUAGCCUGGCAGCUGCUGAAUUUCUUCUAACUUGGGAACUAUCCUGUUCAGCACUAGCUUGAAAACAUGGUGAAGGUCUGUAGAUAGAAGUAAUUAGUCCAAAGUCACAGAGUAAGUCCAUGGGACAGCCAGGAGUGGACUCCAGCCAUGCUAAUGGUGGGUUGUUUUUUCCAGUGCUGUGGGCAGUGGUUCCCAGACCAGGGCCACAACACACAUAAGGGCACAGCAGGUUGCCAGCAUAACAAAAAUCCCAUUACCUCUGACAUUCCCUUUUAUAUUUUGAGAGGCACAAGAUUAUCCUUCCGUAAGCUGGAUAUUUAAAAAAAAAAAAAAAAAAAAGUAAGUAAACAACUGAGCGAGACCAUGCUCUUUUCUCUUCCCUAACAGUCAGCAAUUUUCCCUUCAUUGUAUUCUGGGAUGGAAGCUGAUGCCUUUUUAACCUUCACUAAGUGAAAGUCUUAACAAAUCCCAAGCAAUUUAUCUAAUUGUGUUUAAAACAAACAAAUUAAUCUUCUUGACCAAAUGAGAUAUGCAACAGAAAAAAAAAAAUGGUCAAAACUGAAAAUUCCUUAAUAUGCUAAUGUUUAGUAUAUGUUCAUUUAGCAUUAUGUUCAAAGCCAAAAUACGCUAUUUUUCAUCUCUCUGACCACCAUCAAUGUAAAUUAUUUCUAUAACAGGAAUUUUCUUUGGGGCAUGGAAAUGUGUUUAGUCACUUGAGUAGCAGCUUACACAUCUGAAAAGAAGUAGGGCUACCAAAUUCAUAUUCUCCCCUUUUUACAUCCACUUUGCAGUCAUUAAUGGAAAUAUAAAUAAUUACUCAGGUAACCUACUUCUCCUUUCUAUGUUAACCAUUUUAAGCAGGUAUGUGGAGACCUUCAUUUAAAGUUUAAAGUUAUAAUUUAAAUUUAAGUCAGGCCCAAACUAGGAAGAUGUUCUAAUCAGAUACUAAAGAAUCAGGUCUUAAUUUUCCUAAUGGCUAUGUUUUUGCUUGAUUUCAUUUCUUUCUAUUGAUCCUUCUUAGGAUAGGAGAAUCUACAGAGAACUGGAGUUUGAACAAGAUCUUGACCAAAAAUCAGAUGUUUGUCUGAAUUAUUUAGACCUCAGAAUUAUGUAAAACAGUGCAAUGGCAAUGAGAGCAUGUUUUUUCUGGAGUUUUUUUUUUUUUUUUUUUUCCUGCACUUAACACUUUCAGUCUGAAUUUGAAUACAGAGGUGAUCUCUCUCUUUCCGGCCCUGCCUCAGAAGUGUACAAAAGAAACUCAAAAAAGGUUUGAUUUUAGUUCGGUAAGUGGGUGUAUCCUGUGUCUCCCCUUUGCUUUUUAUGGAGAACUUAUUAUUGUGGAUAAGGUGAAAGAGGCUAUAACUUUACCAAAGUCAGUUCAGUACUGUAUUAUUCCAGUAAUGUUUUGCAGUAGGUUUUUUAAUAGUUUAAUUGUUUCAAACUGCUUAAUCUAUUUGUUCUUAUCCUCCAAAAGUUCUCAUUGCAUUUUUCCACAUUAUUUUGCAUGGAGAUCAUUCCUCCAUAUACAAAAGUCGAGCAUUAAAAGGUCUAUAGAUAGGUGAAUUUUGCUGAGGCAGUAACACGCAAGUUAGUGAAAAUCUGAUAUUUGAUACUUAAGGUUGUUAGCUUAUCAAAUUAUUUGCAGUGGAAGUUUUAAAUGUGCAAACCAUGAAGAUUAUACCUGACCAAUGUGUUUUCUUUGGGUGUAUAGCUAUAGAGGGUGACAAAAGUGAGGAUUAUCACGAUAAAUUGCAUGUUUCUGGUAUUUCAUUAUUCAUUUACUAUAGUGUCUAUGUGGAAGAAAUAGUGCAAACAGGAAGAGUCCUCUAAGGGGGAGGCUCUUUUUUUCCCCAUUAAAUCCUUUGGGCAUAUGUAUCAGUAAUAAACUCCUAUAUUGUAGAACCACUCAGAAGGGGAGAGAAGAAACUGAGCCCUAGAAAAUUCUUCAAAGACAAAUUAGGUAGUUGUUUUCCUGUUCAGUAAUUUUCUCUGUAAGUGUAUUUUACACGGAUAUGAGAAAAGUCUAAACAGCUCUUCUGCAUGAUAGAUUAGAAGGAAUUCAGCCAACUUAUUCUUCCAUAAAUAUUUUAUACGUGGUCAUUCAAGAGACUCUUCAGAUUCUUUCCAAACUCAUUGGUAUAAUGAGCAUGAAGGACUAAAUUAAUUCACUGAAUCAGUACCUGGAAAUUGUUGUCUCCUGUACCUCUUCAGGGCAAACACUUUCAACCCCAACACUCUUGUUCUGGAUUCUUUCUUGCUAUUUGAAUGGUUUGUUACUGCAAUAAACAGGUAGUGCUUUGAUUUCUGAUUAUUUGAAAUUGCUUUUAUUGCACGUAAUACUUUUUAUAAUAGCUAUAGAUAUAUAGAUAUAUUUUAAUGAAUACAGCAGGAAUCUGUGAAACUUAGUUUUGCAUUGAUGUUAAAUUCAAAUUUGGAAUAAAUGUGUAUUGUGUAAUUUGGUUAAAUUAUGAGUUGAUAUUCAUCAUCUACCAUCCUAACUCCUAAGUGAAACAGAAGAAGUUCAGUAGUUUUAUACUUCUAGGUAAGAUUAAGCUAUGAUGUUCUGAUAAUCAAGUACAUUACUAUCAGCUUUUAAUAAAAAUCUUUGCUUUGAGCAGGAUACAGGGCAGAAAACAUACUGUAGCUACUGAAGGAAAUAUGCUUUUUAAAUUGUAAGGAAGUGUUUCAUCUUCAGGCAUGAAGGAGCAAAAACAAAUCUUUUGUCACUAAGUUUGACAGUCGAGAUCAUACACUGCACAGAUGUAGGAGCACAGAAGAAACAGCUGUGGAGAUGAGCUGGAGAGUACAAAGACUUCCAGCCAGCUCAUGGACCCCUCUGCCUUCUGGGGGCUGGGCACAAACGAGUAUGCAGUGUGAGUGUCUCUGCUUUGGCCUUGACAAGCUGGUGUAAUUACUGCUGGGAGCUGUUAACCAGACAGAACAGGUUGCAGCUAACAGUGCAACAGGUGAAGUUCCAGUUUAAACUCAAUCAUCCUCUGUAACCAGGGGGAGUAAAAAUUGACAUGGCGUGACCAGUUCAGUUAGAUUGUCAGGUUGGUUAUGUAAUGUUUACUUAUUCUCUUUCACCUUAAGAUUUUAACUGCAUGGGAGGCACAGGUAGAGUGGGACUGUGGUGUUCUUGGUUUGUGAUGGACUUUUGAGCAGGUAAUUAAUAUAUUUUGUAUUGCUGAAUGUUUUUAGAGUCUAAAAUAUCCUCAGCAAUGUUUGUUUCCCUUCCACUAGUUCUGUUUAGCUUUCUGUAGCUGUAGAGCAGAAGGGAGACCUAAUCUAUCAAAAAGACACAUUCUCAGAUGAGCAGUAAGAAAUAGAAGUAUGCAUUGUUUGCAGAGGACCACUUAGAUGUUUCACACAGGAGAAACAACGUACAGUUUCCUUAUAAACAGUCAUUAGUACAGCACCUCCUCUUCCUGAAAGGCAAGAACUGAGCUAGCAAUUGAUGUUAUUAAUUAUGAUUAUAUUAUUAAUUGUUAGCUUUCCCAUUAGUUCCUUAUAAUAUGAUAGUGUGUGAACCAACCU